This 539-nucleotide ribosomal RNA is filed under the name uncultured bacterium. RNAcentral's name for it is "bacterial SSU rRNA". It matches the Rfam family "Bacterial small subunit ribosomal RNA", at positions 9 to 527 of the family's 1533-position model. The record is from RNAcentral.
GAGUUUGAUCGUGGCUCAGAAUCAACGCUGGCGGCGUGCCUAACACAUGCAAGUCGAACGCGAGAGGGGCUUCGGCCCUGAUUGAGUGGCGAACGGGGUGAGUAACACGUGGGUGAUCUACCUUUGAGUGGGGGAUAACGUUCCGAAAGGAACGCUAAUACCGCAUGACGUUCUGGGUUUGAAGACCUGGAAACCAAAGCCGGGGACCGCAAGGCCUGGCGCUUGGAGAGGAGCCCGCGCCUGAUUAGCUAGUUGGUGAGGUAACGGCUCACCAAGGCUACGAUCAGUAGCCGGCCUGAGAGGGCGGACGGCCACACUGGGACUGAGACACGGCCCAGACUCCUACGGGAGGCAGCAGUGGGGAAUUGUUCGCAAUGGGCGCAAGCCUGACGACGCAACGCCGCGUGGAGGAUGAAGGUCUUCGGAUUGUAAACUCCUGUUGACCGGGAAGAAUGAGCAUCGACUUAAUACGUCGGAGCAGUGACGGUACCGGUUGAGGAAGCCACGGCUAACUCUGUGCCAGCCGCCGCCGUAAAACC